Long non-coding RNA from Mercenaria mercenaria, 286 nucleotides. RefSeq lists it as uncharacterized. NCBI's taxonomy places the organism in Eukaryota, Metazoa, Mollusca, Bivalvia, Venerida, Veneridae. The transcript is spliced from 3 exons. The record is from RefSeq and is a predicted model, not a curated record.
UAAGGAAUUCAGUGUGGAUGAGGUGACGGUCACAGUUCUACAAGUGGUAAAGACGCUGGAAAGUUGAAUCAGUCUGGACUUUCAGGUGGAAGAAAUGCAGAAGGUGAAAUACUAAAGCAGCCGAAGUCCAGUCAAGGUCAAAGUAAACCAAAGACGCUCAAGGAGCUACAGAUGGAAUACUACCAGCAAGCAAUAGCUGGCCAAAAAGUCCAGACAGAGUGUUUAGCUUGCAGACGUUUUAAUUGCUAAAUUCUCGUCUAGCUAAUUUAUAUUAUUAGCUUGACUA